UAUUAUUAUUUUGGCAGAUUAGUGCUUUAAAUUUAGACUUUAAAUAUGUAGGUUUUACAAAUAAUA
This 66-nucleotide transfer RNA is filed under the name Cantabrogeus cultellus. RNAcentral's name for it is "transfer RNA-Leu". Lineage: Eukaryota; Metazoa; Arthropoda; Insecta; Coleoptera; Leiodidae. RNAcentral also lists the same sequence under 3 other names. The record is from RNAcentral.